GACUGUGGCUCAGCGGUAGAGCGUUCGCCUAGCACGUGCAAGGCCCCGGGUUCAAUCCUCAGCACCA
This 67-nucleotide transfer RNA is filed under the name Marmota monax (woodchuck). RNAcentral describes it as "tRNA.Ala". Lineage: Eukaryota; Metazoa; Chordata; Mammalia; Rodentia; Sciuridae. The record is from RNAcentral.